Long non-coding RNA from Mytilus californianus (California mussel), 151 nucleotides. RefSeq lists it as uncharacterized. The transcript has 4 exons. Lineage: Eukaryota; Metazoa; Mollusca; Bivalvia; Mytilida; Mytilidae. The record is from RefSeq and is a predicted model, not a curated record.
UUGGGUAAAUAGUCAAGUGGAAAAGUGAGUUUAUUCGCUUUAAGGAAGAUGAAAUCGAAUGCCAUUCAAGUCACAAAAAGUGAUAUUAAACCACCCACCGUGCAAGUCCGAAAAGGCAAUAUUAAACAACCCACCGCGACAGUCCAAAAAA